RNAcentral lists this ribosomal RNA (468 nucleotides) under uncultured bacterium. Its description in RNAcentral is "partial 16S ribosomal RNA". It matches the Rfam family "Bacterial small subunit ribosomal RNA", at positions 28 to 507 of the family's 1533-position model. The record is from RNAcentral.
GAUGAACGCUGGCGGCGUGCUUAACACAUGCAAGUCGAACGGUGAAGGCGGAGCUUGCUCUGCUGGAUCAGUGGCGAACGGGUGAGUAACACGUGAGCAAUCUGCCCCUGACUCUGGGAUAAGCGCUGGAAACGGCGUCUAAUACUGGAUACGAGCUGCGAAGGCAUCUUCAGCAGCUGGAAAGAAUUUCGGUCAGGGAUGAGCUCGCGGCCUAUCAGCUUGUUGGUGAGGUAAUGGCUCACCAAGGCGUCGACGGGUAGCCGGCCUGAGAGGGUGACCGGCCACACUGGGACUGAGACACGGCCCAGACUCCUACGGGAGGCAGCAGUGGGGAAUAUUGCACAAUGGGCGAAAGCCUGAUGCAGCAACGCCGCGUGAGGGACGACGGCCUUCGGGUUGUAAACCUCUUUUAGCAGGGAAGAAGCGAAAGUGACGGUACCUUCAGAAAAAGCGCCGGCUAACUACGUG